This 2925-nucleotide ribosomal RNA is filed under the name Enterobacter cloacae. RNAcentral's name for it is "bacterial LSU rRNA". It matches the Rfam family "Bacterial large subunit ribosomal RNA". Lineage: Bacteria; Pseudomonadati; Pseudomonadota; Gammaproteobacteria; Enterobacterales; Enterobacteriaceae. The record is from RNAcentral.
GGGUUGUGAGGUUAAGCGACUAAGCGUACACGGUGGAUGCCCUGGCAGUCAGAGGCGAUGAAGGACGUGCUAAUCUGCGAAAAGCGCCGGCGAGGUGAUAUGAACCUUUGACCCGGCGAUGUCCGAAUGGGGAAACCCAGUGUGUUCCGACACACUAUCGUUAACUGAAUACAUAGGUUAACGAGGCGAACCGGGGGAACUGAAACAUCUAAGUACCCCGAGGAAAAGAAAUCAACCGAGAUUCCCCCAGUAGCGGCGAGCGAACGGGGAGCAGCCCGGAGUCUGAAUCAGCUUGUGUGUUAGUGGAACGGUCUGGAAAGUCCGACGGUACAGGGUGAUAGUCCCGUACACGAAAAUGCACAGGUUGUGAACUCGAAGAGUAGGGCGGGACACGUGGUAUCCUGUCUGAAUAUGGGGGGACCAUCCUCCAAGGCUAAAUACUCCUGACUGACCGAUAGUGAACCAGUACCGUGAGGGAAAGGCGAAAAGAACCCCGGCGAGGGGAGUGAAAAAGAACCUGAAACCGUGUACGUACAAGCAGUGGGAGCACCUUCGGGUGUGACUGCGUACCUUUUGUAUAAUGGGUCAGCGACUUAUAUUCUGUAGCAAGGUUAACCGUAUAGGGGAGCCGAAGGGAAACCGAGUCUUAACUGGGCGUUAAGUUGCAGGGUAUAGACCCGAAACCCGGUGAUCUAGCCAUGGGCAGGUUGAAGGUUGGGUAACACUAACUGGAGGACCGAACCGACUAAUGUUGAAAAAUUAGCGGAUGACCUGUGGCUGGGGGUGAAAGGCCAAUCAAACCGGGAGAUAGCUGGUUCUCCCCGAAAGCUAUUUAGGUAGCGCCUCGUGAACUCAUCUUCGGGGGUAGAGCACUGUUUCGGCUAGGGGGCCAUCCCGGCUUACCAACCCGAUGCAAACUACGAAUACCGAAGAAUGUUAUCACGGGAGACACACGGCGGGUGCUAACGUCCGUCGUGAAGAGGGAAACAACCCAGACCGCCAGCUAAGGUCCCAAAGUCAUGGUUAAGUGGGAAACGAUGUGGGAAGGCACAGACAGCCAGGAUGUUGGCUUAGAAGCAGCCAUCAUUUAAAGAAAGCGUAAUAGCUCACUGGUCGAGUCGGCCUGCGCGGAAGAUGUAACGGGGCUAAACCAUGCACCGAAGCUGCGGCAGCGACACUAUGUGUUGUUGGGUAGGGGAGCGUUCUGUAAGCCGUUGAAGGUGUGCUGUGAGGCAUGCUGGAGGUAUCAGAAGUGCGAAUGCUGACAUAAGUAACGAUAAAGCGGGUGAAAAGCCCGCUCGCCGGAAGACCAAGGGUUCCUGUCCAACGUUAAUCGGGGCAGGGUGAGUCGACCCCUAAGGCGAGGCCGAAAGGCGUAGUCGAUGGGAAACAGGUUAAUAUUCCUGUACUUGGUGUUACUGCGAAGGGGGGACGGAGAAGGCUAUGUCAGCCGGGCGACGGUUGUCCCGGUUUAAGCAUGUAGGCGGAGGUUCCAGGUAAAUCCGGUACCUUGUUAACGCUGAGGUGUGAUGACGAGGCACUACGGUGCUGAAGUGAUAAAUGCCCUGCUUCCAGGAAAAGCCUCUAAGCAUCAGGUAACACGAAAUCGUACCCCAAACCGACACAGGUGGUCAGGUAGAGAAUACCAAGGCGCUUGAGAGAACUCGGGUGAAGGAACUAGGCAAAAUGGUGCCGUAACUUCGGGAGAAGGCACGCUGAUAGGUAGGUGAAGCCCCUGCGGGCGGAGCUGAAAUCAGUCGAAGAUACCAGCUGGCUGCAACUGUUUAUUAAAAACACAGCACUGUGCAAACACGAAAGUGGACGUAUACGGUGUGACGCCUGCCCGGUGCCGGAAGGUUAAUUGAUGGGGUUAGCGGCAACGCGAAGCUCUUGAUCGAAGCCCCGGUAAACGGCGGCCGUAACUAUAACGGUCCUAAGGUAGCGAAAUUCCUUGUCGGGUAAGUUCCGACCUGCACGAAUGGCGUAAUGAUGGCCAGGCUGUCUCCACCCGAGACUCAGUGAAAUUGAACUCGCUGUGAAGAUGCAGUGUACCCGCGGCAAGACGGAAAGACCCCGUGAACCUUUACUAUAGCUUGACACUGAACACUGGUCCUUGAUGUGUAGGAUAGGUGGGAGGCUUUGAAGCGUGGACGCCAGUCUGCGUGGAGCCAUCCUUGAAAUACCACCCUUUAAUGGCUGGUGUUCUAACGUAGACCCGUGAUCCGGGUUGCGGACAGUGUCUGGUGGGUAGUUUGACUGGGGCGGUCUCCUCCCAAAGAGUAACGGAGGAGCACGAAGGUUGGCUAAUCCUGGUCGGACAUCAGGAGGUUAGUGCAAUGGCAUAAGCCAGCUUGACUGCGAGCGUGACGGCGCGAGCAGGUGCGAAAGCAGGUCAUAGUGAUCCGGUGGUUCUGAAUGGAAGGGCCAUCGCUCAACGGAUAAAAGGUACUCCGGGGAUAACAGGCUGAUACCGCCCAAGAGUUCAUAUCGACGGCGGUGUUUGGCACCUCGAUGUCGGCUCAUCACAUCCUGGGGCUGAAGUAGGUCCCAAGGGUAUGGCUGUUCGCCAUUUAAAGUGGUACGCGAGCUGGGUUUAGAACGUCGUGAGACAGUUCGGUCCCUAUCUGCCGUGGGCGCUGGAGAAUUGAGGGGGGCUGCUCCUAGUACGAGAGGACCGGAGUGGACGCAUCACUGGUGUUCGGGUUGUCAUGCCAAUGGCACUGCCCGGUAGCUAAAUGCGGAAGAGAUAAGUGCUGAAAGCAUCUAAGCACGAAACUUGCCCCGAGAUGAGUUCUCCCUGAGACCUUGAGUCUCCUGAAGGAACGUUGAAGACGACGACGUUGAUAGGUCGGGUGUGUAAGCGCAGCGAUGCGUUGAGCUAACCGAUACUAAUGAACCGUGAGGCUUAACCUUACAACGCCGAAG